CAGAUCUGCAUUUAAUUGUCUCUGGGCUUAGAAAAUAUGAAGCUUCUGGUUUAAAAAUUAAGAAUGAUUUAAGACAGCAACAGUAGAGCAUUAAACCAAGAUGAGGUUCUUCCGAGCAUAAGACCCUGGGCAACUGUACAAAUCGCACACUGGUGAAUCCAGCCCUUCUCUGGAUUAUACCCCUUAUCACUUUCACCUUUACAUUUACAUAAUGUAUAAAUUCAGUUUAACAAAUCUGCAGCCACUUUGAGUCAUAACCAACCUGAUCAACCCCUGAGUUGCCCUGAUCAGUUUUCCCUGCAUAGUUUCCCAGCACACUAUAAAUAGUAGUAUGUGGAAACUUACAACUGGACCCAGGCACCAGGAAUGUGCCUGACUCUUUGACAUUAACUUGAGAUAAACUAGGUAUAUUCUAACUUGGAUGACAUCACUUUUGUCCUGAACACUUUAUAAACUCCUUUCUGACCAAAUUGUGGGGAUCCACUUGGUCUUGCUACUGCCCAUGACCAUGCUUCCAUCAGUAAUUUCUCCAAUAACCUGCCCUGGGUGCAAUCCUGGGUCUGUUUGCUUGGGUCUCACAGCACUGUGGAGCUGGUUCUUAUACCCUAGGACCAGGUCGUUCCAGAACACAUAAGUAUUUCUUCCAGUAUAAAUUGCCCUUAAAAGAAAAUUGAGAAAAUGCAGAAAUGAAGAAGAUCAAACAAAUAGCAUAGUUAGCCAUUCUCAAAAACAAAACAGUGGUUUUUAUUUCUAGCUUCAUUUUUUUUUUUUGCUUUAUACAUAUACAGUCCUUUAUUUUCAUUGUUGUAAUCAUAUCACAUAAAAUUUCAUGACACCUAAACAAUAAGACAGUAUCAAAGGAAAAUUCAAUAAUUCAAGUAAUUUGAGCUGGUCUUUUGUUCUGGUGGUUUUCUGUAUCUGUUGCUUUUUUUUUUUUUCUUUGCUUGUUUUUGAGACAGGGUUUUGUGAUGUUGCCCAGGCUAGCCUUGAAUUUGCGAUCCUCCUGCCUCAGCCUCUCCAGUAGCUGGGAUUACUGGCACAUGCCACUGCACCCAGAUUUCCUCCUUUAUACAUUUAGUUUUUGUUUUCUAUUUUUUCCUACCCAUGUAUAGUUAACACCUCAGUUUAUUCCAAGUGAAGGCCAAUAAAGUGUUUCCCAUACAAUGAAAAACUUGGUUCACCAUGAAGUUUCU
This 1193-nucleotide long non-coding RNA is filed under the name Marmota monax (woodchuck). Lineage: Eukaryota; Metazoa; Chordata; Mammalia; Rodentia; Sciuridae. The record is from RNAcentral.